CGUAACGCGUAGGAAUCUGCCUAUUAGUGGGGGACAACAUGGUGAAAACCAUGCUAAUACCGCAUACGCCCUACGGGGGAAAGGAGGGGAUCUUCGGACCUUUCGCUAUGAGAUGAGCCUGCGUAAGAUUAGCUUGUUGGUGGGGUAAUGGCCUACCAAGGCGACGAUCUUUAACUGGUCUGAGAGGAUGAUCAGUCACACUGGAACUGAGACACGGCCCAGACUCC
RNAcentral lists this ribosomal RNA (227 nucleotides) under uncultured bacterium. RNAcentral describes it as "partial 16S ribosomal RNA". It matches the Rfam family "Bacterial small subunit ribosomal RNA", at positions 109 to 339 of the family's 1533-position model. The record is from RNAcentral.